UCUCCUGGAAACGGGUGGUAAUGCCGGAUGCUCCAGUUGACCGCAUGGUCCUCUGGGAAAGCUUUUGCGGUAUGGGAUGGGGUCGCGUCCUAUCAGCUUGAUGGCGGGGUAACGGCCCACCAUGGCUUCGACGGGUAGCCGGCCUGAGAGGGCGACCGGCCACAUUGGGACUGAGAUACGGCCCAGACUCCUACGGGAGGCAGCAGUGGGGAAUAUUGCACAAUGGGCGCAAGCCUGAUGCAGCGACGCCGCGUGCGGGAUGACGGCCUUCGGGUUGUAAACCGCUUUUGACUGGGAGCAAGCCCUUCGGGGUGAGUGUACCUUUCGAAUAAGCACCGGCUAACUACGUGCCAGCAGCCGCGGUAAUACGUAGGGUGCAAGCGUUAUCCGGAAUUAUUGGGCGUAAAGGGCUCGUAGGCGGUUCGUCGCGUCCGGUGUGAAAGUCCAUCGCUUAACGGUGGAUCCGCGCCGGGUACGGGCGGGCUUGAGUGCGGUAGGGGAGACUGGAAUUCCCGGUGUAACGGUGGAAUGUGUAGAUAUCGGGAAGAACAGCA
Molecule: ribosomal RNA, 554 nt
Filed under: Bifidobacterium adolescentis
Lineage: Bacteria; Bacillati; Actinomycetota; Actinomycetes; Bifidobacteriales; Bifidobacteriaceae
Description: partial 16S ribosomal RNA
Rfam family: Bacterial small subunit ribosomal RNA
Source: RNAcentral